AGAGUUGAUCCUGGCUCAGGACGAACGCUGGCGGCGUGCUUAACACAUGCAAGUCGAACGAGAAUCACCGGAAGGAGUUUCGGACAACGGAAGGUGAGGACAGUGGCGGACGGGGUGAGUAACGCGUGAGGAACCUGCCUUUCAGAGGGGGACAACAGUUGGAAACGACUGCUAAUACCGCAUGACACGUAGAGAUCGCAUGGUCUUUACGUCAAAGAUUUAUCGCUGAAAGAUGGCCUCGCGUCUGAUUAGCUUGUUGGUGAGGUAACGGCCCACCAAGGCGACGAUCAGUAGCCGGACUGAGAGGUUGGCCGGCCACAUUGGGACUGAGAUACGGCCCAGACUCCUACGGGAGGCAGCAGUGGGGAAUAUUGGGCAAUGGGCGCAAGCCUGACCCAGCAACGCCGCGUGAAGGAAGAAGGCUUUCGGGUUGUAAACUUCUUUUGUUGGGGACGAGUAGAAGACGGUACCUGACGAAUAAGCCACGGCUAACUACGUGCCAGCCGCCGC
Molecule: ribosomal RNA, 510 nt
Filed under: uncultured bacterium
Lineage: Bacteria
Description: bacterial SSU rRNA
Rfam family: Bacterial small subunit ribosomal RNA
Source: RNAcentral